This 504-nucleotide unclassified non-coding RNA is filed under the name Hevea brasiliensis (rubber tree). Lineage: Eukaryota; Viridiplantae; Streptophyta; Magnoliopsida; Malpighiales; Euphorbiaceae. The record is from RNAcentral.
AUUGUAGUUCUCCGCUUUUGAUGUUUUUAGGGCAGGGAAAAUGUCACAUUUUUUGGUAUUUUCCUAAAAUAUAGUUGAAAAUUUUUCAGGCCUUAAUUAACACAUUUGAGGGUUAUACACUUGGGAUUGUGAAUAAGCAUGCUAUAUUUGAGGAGGGGAAAAGGGCCGCCUUGCUUAGAGACUAGGGCCAUGUUCUGAUUCUCCUUUUUCCCGUGUGUGCAACAUGACGUUUGUUUUCAUUAGUUACAAACAAACUAACAAAGAUAUAUGAUAAAGAUUAUCCAAUAAAAGAUUUUUGCUCUGACUUUACUGCUAAAAACUCGUAUUAUUUCACAUAGACCAUCUAAAAGGAGUUGAGAGUGUGGAUAUGUUGUUUUUUCUCAAGUAGAUUAUCUUUUUGAUUGAUUCUACUAAGUGACAAUAAUAAUAAUCUAAGAGUGACAUGUAAAAGGGAUCUGAGAAAGUGUUGUUAAUAUAUUCUUCUUCUUUGUUUUUUCAUUUUUA